GAUGCCCCGCGCCGUGCUUGCACGGGUAAGCGGGCAGACGUUAAUGACGCGCCCCCCAAUGAGGAUGAAGUGGGGGAGGGGCCCCGCGAAAUCCGAAUUGGGGGGAGGAUUGCGGGAGUGCGCAGCACGGAGCAAUCCGUGUG
This 143-nucleotide small RNA is filed under the name uncultured Eubacterium sp. RNAcentral's name for it is "Clostridiales-1 RNA". It matches the Rfam family "Clostridiales-1 RNA", at positions 19 to 159 of the family's 166-position model. Lineage: Bacteria; Bacillati; Bacillota; Clostridia; Eubacteriales; Eubacteriaceae. The record is from RNAcentral.